RNAcentral lists this non-coding RNA (122 nucleotides) under Marispirochaeta. RNAcentral describes it as "Candidatus Marispirochaeta MoCo sequence". It matches the Rfam family "Molybdenum/Tungsten riboswitch aptamer (Moco RNA motif)". RNAcentral also lists the same sequence under 1 other name. The record is from RNAcentral. Lineage: Bacteria; Pseudomonadati; Spirochaetota; Spirochaetia; Spirochaetales; Spirochaetaceae.
GUACAUAUAUAUCUCCGAUCCGAUUAACCUACAGGACGCCCGUCCCAGGGUUGUCGGACGCCAGGUCCCGAUGGAAACGUCUGUGCCUCCCGUAUUUGGAAAGGAGAAAAUACAGGGAGGUA